UCUGGAUGAACGCUAGCUACAGGCUUAACACAUGCAAGUCGAGGGGCAGCAUGGUCUUAGCUUGCUAAGGCCGAUGGCGACCGGCGCACGGGUGAGUAACACGUAUCCAACCUGCCGUCUACUCUUGGACAGCCUUCUGAAAGGAAGAUUAAUACAAGAUGGCAUCAUGAGUCCGCAUGUUCACAUGAUUAAAGGUAUUCCGGUAGACGAUGGGGAUGCGUUCCAUUAGAUAGUAGGCGGGGUAACGGCCCACCUAGUCUUCGAUGGAUAGGGGUUCUGAGAGGAAGGUCCCCCACAUUGGAACUGAGACACGGUCCAAACUCCUACGGGAGGCAGCAGUGAGGAAUAUUGGUCAAUGGGCGAGAGCCUGAACCAGCCAAGUAGCGUGAAGGAUGACUGCCCUAUGGGUUGUAAACUUCUUUUAUAAAGGAAUAAAGUCGGGUAUGGAUACCCGUUUGCAUGUACUUUAUGAAUAAGGAUCGGCUAACUCCGUGCCAGCAGCCGCGGUAAUACGGAGGAUCCGAGCGUUAUCCGGAUUUAUUGGGUUUAAAGGGAGCGUAGAUGGAUGUUUAAGUCAGUUGUGAAAGUUUGCGGCUCAGCCGUAAAAUUGCAGUUGAUACUGGAUAUCUUGAGUGCAGUUGAAGCACGCGGAAUUCGUGGUGUAGCGGUGAAAUGCUUAGAUAUCACGAAGAACUCCGAUUGCGAAGGCAGCCUGCUAAGCUGCAACUGACAUUGAGGCUCGAAAGUGUGGGUAUCAAACAGGAUUAGAUACCCUGGUAGUCCACACGGUAAACGAUGAAUACUCGCUGUUUGCGAUAUACAGCAAGCGGCCAAGCGAAAGCGUUAAGUAUUCCACCUGGGGAGUACGCCGGCAACGGUGAAACUCAAAGGAAUUGACGGGGGCCCGCACAAGCGGAGGAACAUGUGGUUUAAUUCGAUGAUACGCGAGGAACCUUACCCGGGCUUAAAUUGCAGAUGAAUUACGGUGAAAGCCGUAAGCCGCAAGGCAUCUGUGAAGGUGCUGCAUGGUUGUCGUCAGCUCGUGCCGUGAGGUGUCGGCUUAAGUGCCAUAACGAGCGCAACCCUUGUUGUCAGUUACUAACAGGUUCUGCUGAGGACUCUGACAAGACUGCCAUCGUAAGAUGUGAGGAAGGUGGGGAUGACGUCAAAUCAGCACGGCCCUUACGUCCGGGGCUACACACGUGUUACAAUGGGGGGUACAGAGGGCCGCUACCACGCGAGUGGAUGCCAAUCCCCAAAACCUCUCUCAGUUCGGACUGGAGUCUGCAACCCGACUCCACGAAGCUGGAUUCGCUAGUAAUCGCGCAUCAGCCACGGCGCGGUGAAUACGUUCCCGGGCCUUGUACACACCGCCCGUCAAGCCAUGGGAGCCGGGGGUACCUGAAGUGCGUAACCGCGAGGAGCGCCCUAGGGUAAA
RNAcentral lists this ribosomal RNA (1438 nucleotides) under uncultured organism. RNAcentral describes it as "SSU rRNA". It matches the Rfam family "Bacterial small subunit ribosomal RNA". The record is from RNAcentral.